GCAGGAGAAUUGCCUGAACCCAGGAGGCGGAGGCAUGAAAAGUGCUUGAACCGAGCAGGCAGAAGUGGCAUUGAGCCAAGAUUGCACCACUGCACUCCAGCCUGAGCAAGGCAAGACUCUAUC
This is a long non-coding RNA of Sapajus apella (tufted capuchin), 123 nucleotides long. RefSeq lists it as uncharacterized. NCBI's taxonomy places the organism in Eukaryota, Metazoa, Chordata, Mammalia, Primates, Cebidae. The record is from RefSeq and is a predicted model, not a curated record. The transcript is spliced from 2 exons.